CGGGUCCUAUGCAACGCUGAACCGGUGAACUCCGCCAGGCCCGGAAGGGAGCAACGGUAACCAGGAUUCUCGUGUGCCGUAGGGCGCCUGG
Molecule: signal recognition particle RNA, 91 nt
Filed under: marine eukaryotic metagenome
Description: Bacterial small signal recognition particle RNA
Rfam family: Bacterial small signal recognition particle RNA
About the family: The signal recognition particle (SRP) is a universally conserved ribonucleoprotein involved in the co-translational targeting of proteins to membranes. Archaeal SRP consists of a 7S RNA and homologues of the eukaryotic SRP19 and SRP54 proteins.
Source: RNAcentral